This 3133-nucleotide long non-coding RNA is filed under the name Apteryx haastii (Great spotted kiwi). RNAcentral describes it as "lncRNA (ENSAHAG00000019431.1)". Lineage: Eukaryota; Metazoa; Chordata; Aves; Apterygiformes; Apterygidae. The record is from RNAcentral.
AUGGCGUCCGUCCCCCAUGGCAUCUGUCCCUCAUGGUGUCCAUCCCAUGUUGUAUCCGUCCCCCGUGGCGUCUGUCCCCUGUGGCGUCUGUCCCCCAUGGUGUCCAUCCCUCGUGGCAUCUGUCCCCCGUGGCGUCCGUCCCCGUCGCAUCUGUCCCCCAUGGCGUCUGUCCCUCGUGGUGUCCAUCCCGCAUUGUAUCUGUCCCCCGUGGCAUCUGUCCCCCGUGGCUUUUCUCCCUCGUGGAGUCCAUCACCCGUUGUAUCUGUCCCCCGUGGCAUCUGUCCCCCGUGGCGUCCGUCCCUCGUGGAGUCUGCCCCUGUGGCGUCUGUCCCUCGAGGCGUCUGUCCCCUGUGGCAUCUGUCCCUCUUGGCAUCUAUCCCCUGUGGCGUCUGUCCCUCAUGGCGUCCAUCCUCCGUUGUAUCUUUCCCCCGCGGUGUCGGUCCCUCGUGGCGUCUGUCCCCCAUGGCGUCGGUCCCCCGUGGCGUCUGUCCCUCGUGGUGUCCAUCCUGCGUUGUAUCCGUCCCCCGUGGCGUCCGUCCCCCGUGGCGUCCGUCCCCCGAGGCUUCUGUCCCCCAUGGCGUCCGUCCCCCGUGGCGUCCGUCCCUCGUGGCGUCUGUCCCCCGUGGCGUCCGUCCCCUGUGGCAUUUGUCCCCCGUUGCAUCUGUCCCCCAUGGCGUCUGUCCCCCGUUGCAUCUGUCCCCUGGGGCGUCGGUCCCCCGUGGCAUUUGUCCCCCGUGGCGUCGGUCUCCCUUGGCGUCCAUCCCUCGUGGCAUCUGUCCCCCGUGGCAUCUGUCUCUCGUGGUGCAGAGCCCGCAUUGUAUCUGUCCCCCGUGGCGCCUGUCCCCCGUGGCGCCUGUCCCUGGUGGCAUCUGCCCCCCAUGGCAUCCAUCCCCCGUGGCGCCUGUCCCUCAUGGCGUCUGUCCCCUGUGGCGUCCAUCCUCUCUGGCGUCUGUCCCCCGUGGCGUCUGUCCCCCGUGGCGUCCAUCCUCUCUGGCGUCCAUCCCCCGUGGCAUCGGUCCCCCGUGGAAUCUGUCCCCCAUAGUGUCCGUCCCCCAUGGCCUCUGUCCCCCGUGGCAUCAGUCCCCCAUGGCGUCUGUCCUGUGGCGUCUGUCCCCCGUGGUGUCGGUCCCCCGUGGCAUUGGUCCCCCGUGGUGUUCAUCCUCUGUGGCAUCUGUCCCCCGUGGUGUCCGUCCCUCAUGGUGUCUGUCCCCCGUGGCAUCUGUCCCUUGUGGUGUCCGUCCCCCGUUGUAUCUGUCCGCCAUUGUAUCUGUCCCUCAUGGCAUCUGUCCCCUGUGGCGUCCGUCCCCCGUGGCGUCUGUCCCCCGUGAUGUCCAUCCACCAUUGUGUCCAUAUCUCGUGGCAUCCAUCCCUUGUCGCGUCCGUCCACUGUGGCAUCUGUCCCCCGUGUCAUCUAUCCCUUGUGGUGUCCAUCCACCGUUGUGUCCAUCCCUCGUGGCGUCCAUCCCCCAUGGUGACCAUCCACUGUGGUGUGCAUCCCCCGUGUGUCCGUCCCCCGUGUGUCCGUCCCCCGUGUGUCCGUCCCCYGUGUGUCCGUCCCCUGUGGCGUCUGUCCCCCGUGGCAUCCAUCCCCCGUGGCGCCCGUACCCCAUGGCAUCUGUCCCCCGUGGCGUCUGUCCCCCUGGUGUCCAUCCCCCAUGGCAUCCGUCCCCUAUGACCUCUGUUCCCCGUGGCAUCUGUCCCGCAUUGUGUCCAUCCCCCAUGGCAUCCAUCCCCCAUGGCAUCCGUUUCCCAGGGCAUCUGUCUCCUGGGGCGUCCGUCCCCUGUGGUGUCCAUCCACCGUUGUGUCCAUCCCCUGUGACAUCUGUCCCCCAUGGUAUCUGUUCCCCGGGGCAUCCAUCCCCUGUGGCAUCUGGUUCCUGUGGCAUCUGUCCCUGUGGUGUCCAUCCCCCAUGGCAUCCGUCCUCUGUGGUUUCUGUGCCCGUGGUGUCCGUGCCAGUGCUGUUCAUCCCCCGUGGCGUCCGUCCCCCGUGGUGUCCGUCCACUGUGGCAUCCAUCCCCCGUGGCUCUGUCCCCCGUGGCGUCCAUCCCCAUGGUGUCCAUCACCCGUGGCGUGCAUCCCCCAUCAUGUCCGUCUCCUGUGGCGUCCAUCCACCGUGGCAUCCGUCCCCAUAGCAUCCAUCCACUGCGGUGUCCGUCCCCCGUGACGUCCAUCGCCAUGGCAUCCAUCCCCCGUGGUGUCUGUCCCCCGUGGCAUCUGUCCCCAUGGUGUCUGUUCCCCUUGGCAUCUGUCCCCGUGGCAUCCAUCCCCUGUGGCAUCUGUCCCCUGUGGCGUCCGUCCCAGUGGCGAUCAUCCCCCAUGGCAUCCAUCCCCCGUAGUGUCCCUCCCCCGUGGCGUCCGUCCCCAUGGCACACCUACCUUAUGGCAUCCAUCCCUCGUGGUGUCCAUCCCCCGUGGCCUCCGUCCCUGUGGUCUUCAUCCCUUGUGGCAUCCGCACUGCCCGUUAAAGCCAGGCUGGAGCUGGAGCUGGCUCUUUGCUGGGCCUUUCCCUCCCCGAAAUCCUCUGGUCCCAGGCUGCGGCUUGUGCUGCUCCGCAGUGCAUCGGGAACACGAGGAUAUGCUGAUACCCGCGCCGGAGAAUAUUAGGAGAAAAACGCCCAAAGUGUUGUGACAAAAUAGUUUGAAAGUAAAGGACGAGGCUCAGCCCAGCUUCUGCCCUUCGUGGUGGCCUUCGUUUGGCGACCCGCGUUUCGGUUUGCGGGGGCUCCACCGACACGGAGUGCGAUUUAGUCACCCGAUGGGAAAGACGACGUUUGCCCAGCGAGCGGCGCGCGCCGGCAGCUCUUUGCGGUCGCCCCCUCGAAGGCAGGAUUGGGGCAACGCGAAUCUGGCCCAUCCGCGCCGAGGCCACGCAGCACUGCUGCCUGCUGGCCAGACCGCGCUGCAAGUGGCCGGUGGCCCUGGGACUCCGUCGGGGCAGCGGCUCUGUCGUGGCCGUGGCCAUUGUGAUGUCAAGGUAGCCAUGGCGCCGGCGGAGCCGCAGACGACCCGYGCGGUUUCCCACUGGGAAACCAGUGCUUUUCAUUCCUGUUAAGUGGAUGUUCGUAGCAAGGGACCUUUCUUCUUUGCACGUUAAAGCAGGUUUAGCAACGGGCAUCAGCCAAGACAGCAUCA